AAGUCGUAACAAGGUUUCCGUAGGUGAACCUGCGGAAGGAUCAUUAACACGUAUCCAACGUUAAACCCCCCGUGAACCUUCAUUGUGCUCCCCCAUUCCGUUAGGACGCGGCAAUCCCUGGUAAAUCAUCGCCGACCUGAGGCAAGUGGCCUGGCAUUCGAAAGAAUGGCGCAGUAACGAUCGCUAGAGGCCGACACGGCCGGCGACCGGGUCACUGGGCUCACGCCCCCCUAUCACCUUUGCAUGAAAACGGGCCUGCGCUUAAUUGUGCGGCCACCAAACUCGAACAACUGUUAACAAUGGAUAUCUUGGUUCUC
Molecule: unclassified non-coding RNA, 317 nt
Filed under: fungal sp.
Lineage: Eukaryota; Fungi
Description: partial internal transcribed spacer region
Rfam family: Eukaryotic small subunit ribosomal RNA (bases 1-46)
Source: RNAcentral